Molecule: long non-coding RNA, 2703 nt
Organism: Parus major (Great Tit)
Lineage: Eukaryota; Metazoa; Chordata; Aves; Passeriformes; Paridae
Exons: 3
Source: RefSeq, a predicted model, not a curated record
GGCACGCAGCGAGCCAGCGGCAGCAGCAGCAGCCCGGGAACCGCUUCACUCAGCGCUGAGUGCCUGGAGAACACGCUGCUCCGCCCUCUGGCAGAGAUGGGCAGGCACUGCCCUCGCUCUCUCCCCCUCGUCUCCUUUCCCCUCCCUUUUCCUCUCCGUCUCCUUCUCUCUCUUCCUCUCUUCCUCUGCUCCUUCCCUGGGCCACUGAAGCAUUUUCUCCCAGGCCCUGCCCAGCCCAGACCAGGCCUCCUUUCUGCAUGGCAGCUUCUUUGUGUCCGGCUGUAAAGGUUUGCCGACUGUGGUAGCACUGGCCAAGGGAAACAUUACUUUGUCACCUAAAAAGGAGCAGGGAGCAAAGGAAAUGUCAUGGAUUCCACCCUGGGACUGAAGAAGAAGCCAGUACUUCACAACAUAUUAUCUUCAGCAGUAGCAGCCGCGUCGGUCAGAAACUGGUCGUGUUGCAACACCUUCUGCUCCAAAGAAAGAGGAAGACCUGGAUUCAGCUUUGUGUCCCCAACAGCCUUGUCCCAAGACUUUUCCCCAUGUAGACCUAAGGAUGUGCCAGGUGCAAGCAGUGCAGAUGGUGCUGAGCACGGCUUCGCUUUAAGGCAGUGUCUGAGCUACACAAAGAGGCUGCAGCCCCACUGACAGAGCUCAAGGUUUGGUCCUCACUCUUCAAAUGGACAGGGCAUUCACUGUCCCUCCAGGAUGGACAUUUCUUCUACCUUUUCAUUUCAUUACAUGUAACUGCAAGAAUAUUUAUCUUUUCCACAUUUACGCCCUUUUUCCUCUACAGAAGCUCCUUAAUGAAAACCAAGUCAUGGUUAUUCAUCAAAAUCAAAACUUCCAUAAAACUGAUCCCUAAAAAUUCCAUUUAUUGACAGUAGUCAAUGAAGAAAUUCCUUUUCUACUAUUUAUGUUUUAAUGUUUUUAUAUUUCCAUCUGUUAUGAGAUAAAUCUAAAAAAAUCUAUAGGAAAAGUUAUUUAGAAACAUAAACUAAGGAUUUACUGAAGUGAUUUUCAUAAAUCCUCUUUUUUUAUGAAAUAUUUCAUCUCAUUAAGUAUUGCUUUUGUUGUUCCACAAGGAUAAAAGGAAUAUAAUAAUUAAGUGCCUAAGUUUGCAAAUGGAGUGUUACAGUCUUAUUUUGUCCAGAUCUGCUUUUUCCAGUGGGAAAGGUUUCUAUAUGAUUUUUUUUUUUUAUUUUCUGUUUUAAUGGCCAUACAGGCUCUUAUCAGCUGCAAAAACAAACAAGAAAAGUGCAAUGCCUAGAAACAGAAGCAGGCUGGUAAAGGUUUAAUACAAGCCCAUAAAUCUCUAAUUAUAUAAAUUAUAUUUGUUGAUAAAAACACAUUCUGUUAGUCACAGUUGAUGGAAUAAGGACUAUUAAAGUUAAAAGGAAACUCUAUUACACAGAGGUAGAGAGAAACAUCCUUUUAAGAUCCUAUAGGAAAUACUAAAUUAUUAUUAUUAUUACAAUGGGCAAAGUUGUUGCUUUAAGUGGCACUCAUGAGAUUAUGGUCUUUCCUUAAUUUAAACCCACAUGAAAAGAAUGGGUGCUGCAGAGUUGUGAGCAAAUGAGCAUGCAAAUGAGGAGGAGGAGGAGACAAUGUCAGAGGAAGAUCUGUGCGUUGGGGACUCAAAACCAGGAGAGUAAAUGUGGAGGAGCCCUGGUACAAGCCCAGUCAUCUGUAACUUGGUUUAGUCCUCUGUGAUCUCUCAUCUGAUAACCUUCAAAGCCUCUGUUUGGAUGGUGACUUGAAAGAAUCUCUUUGGAUUACAUUAGCUUUACAUUAGCUGUACUACUGUUUUUAAUAGCAAAGCAGCUACUGUAUUUACAAUAGAACCAGGCCAGUUCUGGGGCAAAUAGUUUACUCACUACAAAUCAAAUCAGAUCUCAGCUUCUCAGAUCUCUUUAAACCUUCAAAUUUGUGAUUUAAUACUAUUUUCAUGCACUAGAAAAUAAAAAUUAAAUGUACAAAAGGCCAUGCCUACAUGCUUUGGAAGAAAGUCCAAAUUUUUCAUUUCAAAAUUUUAUUAUUCUAAAAUUUGGGGAAAAAUACAGCAGGAAAAGGAAGCUGAAAUAGGUAUUUUGUUUUGGGAUGAUGUUCAUGAAAAUAAGCUAAAUUUAAAAAAAAUUCCCUGAAGAAUCAAUCAUUCAAGGCAAACAAUAUCAUACUUCUGAGUUUUUUUAUGCAGUAAGCUACAAACACAGCUCAGACUGAAGCUGCUUUGAUGAUACAAGGUUGAUGAAUAUCAAGCCAAAUUUCCAAUAUUAAUCCAAGCUGGUACACCAGCUGUAGCAAUGUUUACUACAUUAGUACAAAGCGUUCUUUUCCAAAACACACACUGUAUAUGAUCUGUGUAAUCUUCUGUGUAAACAAAUAUUAUAUAGAGGAGGUGAUAGUCCACUACGAUGCCUGAAGCCACCUUUCCUCCUCAGAACUAUUCUCGUUUGAUUCUUUGUGUUAGUUACACUCCUGUUGCUGAUUCCAGAGCAAGCUUUGAGUUGCUUCAGCAGGAGGAGGUGGAAAUGUAUGUGAAGAAGAAUUCUUUCCACUUUCUUUGAACCUUUAAAGGACUCAUUCCUGCAAGCACCACGGUUCCCAAGUGCCCUCAGGAGCUUGGGAGGUGAAGGCAGAACGUGUCAUUUCAAGUUCAGCACUGCAAAAAAGAGGUUUAGCAAAGAGUUCUUGUGUCCUUAC